RNAcentral lists this ribosomal RNA (297 nucleotides) under Clostridium sp. MD294. RNAcentral describes it as "partial 23S ribosomal RNA". It matches the Rfam family "Bacterial large subunit ribosomal RNA", at positions 1 to 299 of the family's 2925-position model. Lineage: Bacteria; Bacillati; Bacillota; Clostridia; Eubacteriales; Clostridiaceae. The record is from RNAcentral.
GGUCAAGCAAGAAAGAGCACGAGGUGAAUGCCUUGGCACUGGGAGCCGAUGAAGGACGUGAUAAGCUGCGAAAAGCUUCGGGGAGGCGCACAUAGCCAAUGAGCCGGAGAUAUCCGAAUGGGGGAACCUGCCUAAGAAAACCUUAGGUAUCUGUAUGUAAAUCCAUAGCAUACAGAAGGGAACGCUGUGAACUGAAACAUCUAAGUAGCAGUAGGAGGAGAAAGAAAAAUCGAUUUCCUAAGUAGCGGCGAGCGAAAGGGAAAGAGGCCAAACCAGGAGACAAAGUUUUCUGGGGUU